UACGAAGGGGGCUAGCGUUGUUCGGAUUUACUGGGCGUAAAGCGCACGUAGGCGGAUCGUUAAGUCGGGGGUGAAAUCCUGGAGCUCAACUCCAGAACUGCCUUCGAUACUGGCGAUCUUGAGUCCGGAAGAGGUGAGUGGAACUCCUAGUGUAGAGGUGGAAUUCGUAGAUAUUAGGAAGAACACCAGUGGCGAAGGCGGCUCACUGGUCCGGUACUGACGCUGAGGUGCGAAAGCGUGGGGAGCA
This 247-nucleotide ribosomal RNA is filed under the name uncultured bacterium. RNAcentral describes it as "partial 16S ribosomal RNA". It matches the Rfam family "Bacterial small subunit ribosomal RNA", at positions 524 to 770 of the family's 1533-position model. The record is from RNAcentral.